GGGGCCGUAGCUCAGCUGGUAGAGCACUUUAUCCUCCCCGACAUUUGCCCGCGGGACGGGCCGAAGGUGGAGGGUUAUCGACUGUCACUCGAGAGGUCGCGGGUUCGAGUCCCGCCGGCUCCA
Molecule: transfer RNA, 123 nt
Filed under: Gemmatimonadota bacterium
Lineage: Bacteria; Pseudomonadati; Gemmatimonadota
Description: Gemmatimonadetes bacterium (rhizosphere metagenome) tRNA-Asp
Rfam family: tRNA
About the family: Transfer RNA (tRNA) molecules are approximately 80 nucleotides in length.
Source: RNAcentral